GUACGUGCACNUGCGGAAGGAUCAUUA
This 27-nucleotide ribosomal RNA is filed under the name Russula aquosa. Its description in RNAcentral is "partial 18S ribosomal RNA". Lineage: Eukaryota; Fungi; Basidiomycota; Agaricomycetes; Russulales; Russulaceae. The record is from RNAcentral.